CUCUGCAUCGAUGAAGAACGCAGCGAAACGCGAUAGGUAAUGUGAAUUGCAGAAUUCCGUGAAUCAUCGAAUCUGUUGAACGCACCUUGCGCUCCAUGGUAUUCCGUGGAGCAUGCCUGUUUGAGUGCCGUGAAUUCUCUCUCCCCAAGCGGUUGCGAUUGCGCUGCUUGGCGGAUAGGUUGGAUGGGUGCCUGCCAGUGUCUCGUACACCGGCUCGCCCGAAAUUCAUUAGCGCCUUGGACACACUCUGAAAACCGCCCCCGAAGGGAGGGCGGCAGAGCGGAUGGAGGAAUUCCACCCGUCGACUAUACCAAACCUUGCCCAGGCAAGCGCAUGGCAUGAUACGUCAUUUGCUGUGUGCGCGUGCUGGGCCAAGGGGUUGAUGCGGUGCCUCUAGAGCUUUGUGGGUGUGUUGUGUGCUACGAACUAUGCGUGGAGGCACUUGUGCCUUGUGAACGCGUUCCCUUUUUCAUUUCUGGUCUCAAAUCAGGUAGGAUCACCCGCUGAACUUAAGCAUAUCAAUAGGCCGGAGG
Molecule: ribosomal RNA, 533 nt
Filed under: Malassezia japonica
Lineage: Eukaryota; Fungi; Basidiomycota; Malasseziomycetes; Malasseziales; Malasseziaceae
Description: eukaryotic LSU rRNA
Rfam family: 5.8S ribosomal RNA (bases 3-130)
Source: RNAcentral